UUGGAUCCAUGGAGUAUCUGUCAUCUAUAUGAUCUGGGAUUCAUUAGGUCCUCGUCGAAUGCGGACUUCGUUCAUAGUGCCAUGUGAACGCCAACUAGACAGUGGUACUAUAUAUAUUAUAUCGAUCCCGCAAUCAUCCAAUUAGCAAUCUCGUUUGCCUUUGAUUCUCUUCUAGAUAUACGUUCCUAGACUACUUGCACGAUAAAGUACCUUGAAACGCAAGUUCCUUCAUCCUGAAGGUUAAACGAUUGAUUACACAAUAGCUAGUGAGCCGAAAACAAGAAUUGAGACUGCAAAUUGCAGUGUUUAAAAGUGGUGACUCUGUCACUUGGGCCUUGUGUCGUGCAAUCUCAUCCGCAAUGCUCAUGAAAAUCCCUUUCGGGACCCAAAUUUGUUGUCACAGGUGUCGAUCACUUCUGUAGCCUUCCAAUUGUGCAGCUCCACAUAUCUGCAAAAAUGAUCGCUGCUCGUGUCCAGGCCAAGCCAGUCGCUGCCGCUAAGCCGGCUCGCGCAGCCGUUGUGGUGCGCGCACAGAAGACCGAGGCCCAGGUGUGUUCACUGGAUGGGUUAGCUAAUUGUGUACCUUGCUCCCUCCAAGUGCUCUGAAGUGACAUUGGGGAAAUUGGAGCGGAUGGAUAGUGUAGAGAACACUGAUUAUACUUACGUGGUCUACACGUUUUACAAUCCAAUGUUUUCCAAUAUAAUGAAGCUUUGAAUAAACCAGUAGAUUGUUGCCAAAAGAGUGCACUGGCCUAGAUUGUUUCUAUUGGCGCUGCCACGUAGGCAAACUUUAGGUUUACUUUAUAAUCAAAGGGAUGGCUAGACCGGAGUCUGAGAACUUUGUUUCAUAAAAUUUCUGGGUACUGAUUUCCCCUGGUUUCCCUUGUACAGAAGCCCAAGGUCGCCCAGGCUGUGAUGGCCGUCCUGGCGUCCACUGUGAUCGCCCUGUCGUCCUCGUCGGCUGCCAAGGCCGAGGUAAGCUCGCGAGCAUCUCCUCCGCAUGAUCACUCCACAUCACCAAGCACUGCAUUGUAUGCGAGUCUUCCAUGAACCCAAGUAUGGAAAAUGCGUUAAGGGUAGUUCAUGGCGUACGGAUUGGCACUGAGAUGACUGAAUAGGAAUGCGCUGACGGGUGUGAAUGUUCUGUACCCUGAUCCCUUCCCUUACAUCAGGCUACCGUCAAGCAGGUUGUGUGCGCGUCCAACCCCACCGCCAAGGUCUGCCUGAAGGGUAGCGCCAAGUCCUCGUAAACACUUUACCCGAGCGAGCAUGCAAGCAUCGCGCUUCGCUCCGCGCCAGUAACGUGGCCUGAAUCCAUACCAAUUUUGAUUGGAGCAUUGGGCUGUGUGGUUCAGCACGAGUGAGCGGACGCCCGGCCUUGUCGUCAUGCCUAGCCAUGGGGCAAAUGAUGAAAAGAUAAUGUAACAAAAUCUAAUGCAA
Molecule: long non-coding RNA, 1440 nt
Filed under: Volvox carteri
Lineage: Eukaryota; Viridiplantae; Chlorophyta; Chlorophyceae; Chlamydomonadales; Volvocaceae
Description: long non-coding RNA (VCAR_LNC003208)
Source: RNAcentral